UCAAACGACCCAUUUUUAGGCCUAAUUUUUGGAUCUAGCCCAUAGAACCCAAGCCCAAUACCCCUAAAACCCUGUAAAGAAGCUUAAAAAGACCCUAGACAGAAAACCUAGGGGUAGACCUAAUAGAUCCGCCGAUUUCAAUACAUAAAAUAGACCCCCUGAAGAUCGUCUUCUUCGAGACCCCCCACCCCCCGAUUCAUCUUCUUCAGCCAUUUUCAACAUAGGAAAACCCCAAAAUAGACCUCAUCCCAACGACCUCCCUCUUUAAAAACAAAAAACUAACAACCAACGUUCACCAGUUCCGCCAUGAACGACCACCCCCAAGAGAAAAGCUAGCCGCUCUCACUUCAGCUUCCUCACUCGAGCUGUUGCUUCGCCGAAAUUGAUCACCGGCGAGUGGGCGCCACUAGCAACGGAUAUGGCCAGAAACCCCAAAACACAUUCGCGAUUUCGUCACUUAUACAAAAAAUGAAAAAAUAUUCUGGUUUUCUUCUUCCAUUUUUUCGACUUUCGUCUCAAAAAUCAGAGGUGUUGUCCUCUGAUUUUCGUUCCAAAAUGAAGGUCAUUUGAUGUCGUGUAUGGAUUCAAACUUUCUUGUACCGAUUCGAGGUUCUGUCAAGGUCCGUGUUCGAGAGUCCUGUCUGAUUUGAGUUCCAAUCGUGGUUGUGGUUUGUUUCCAUCCGUGUAACUGCUGAAAUUUUUAUUAAUUGAAGGCAACUUGAGGUUUAAUUCUUUCCUCUCUCAUUUUAUUCUAAUAUCGAGUUUAAUAUGUUUGAGACCUCUUUAUAUGGCUUUGUUUGAUCCUUGUAGUUGUAAAUCUCCCACGUUGAAUUGACUGAAAGUAUCCCUAGCAGGUGUCCACAUUGGAAUUGGUCUUUAUUCGUUCAAAAGAUGCAUACCAAUUAUGUAACUUCUACUUAUUUGUUAAUGUGGAUUGAUACUCAGAAUUCUAAUGGUAUAUGAGUACCAUUCUAUUGAUCUAGCUCAUUUCAUGGUUUCUAAAAAAAAUUGUGCUAAAAGCUUAUCAUCUUAGACAUUCUUAUUGGACAAGACGUUCCUUUCCCAUAUUGAAAAUAUUGUGUGAUUGGUAAAACAUGGUGAUAGAACAUUUAUUGACCGGAUAUAAGUAUAUGAAUUGAUCGGAUAUAAAUAUGAAUCAAAGUAUGCGUUCCCGCGAUUUUGAACGAAAAGAUCUUAAUAAUAAUAAAAUGCUAUUAAUCGUGUAUACGUUCGCGUGAUACGAGUAUGAUUUAAAGAAUGAAUAUUCUUAUAAAAAUCGAUUGUCACCUGAAUACUUUAUGCUAAGAUGUAUUAGCUGAUGUCUCCAAAGUCUUUGUUUUGUUUCUGUAGUUUUAUGACAAGUUUCCAGGAUUCUUGAGCUCUUGUAAGUCUUAAAACACAUCUGAACUAUAAGGAAGAAGACUUAAUUUUAUACGUUGCUAAUGGAUUCAUCAAUAACAAGAACUUGUUCAGUUUGAAAUUGUGGUUAGCUUUGUUGCUUAUAAUUUUAACAUAAAGAAGGAGAAUGUAUCUGUUGAAAAAUUAUUGUAGGAUAGUUCCUCCAGAUGCUUGAAUGCAUUGAAUAUGAUAACUGGCGUGGCAUUCAAAAUAAAUCGAGGUAUGCGUUCGCGCAACUUCGAGCAAACUUUCUUAAUAUUAAUAAAGCGUGAUUAACUUUGGACACGUACGCGUGACAUGAUUUUUGACGCGCCAAACAAAUGGUACACGUGUGCAUGACCUAUUUUGAGAUAAUUUCAUAAUUAAAAGAGGUAAAUGCACAUAGGUUCUAAAAUAAGUAAUUAGACAAUUUUAUUAAGCCAAGUAUGAUCAAAGCGACCGUGCUAAAACCACGUAACUCGGGAAUGCCUAACACCUUCUCCCGGGUUAACAGAAUUCCUUACCGGAUUUCUGUGUUCGCACACCAUAAAUAAGAGUCAACUUCCUCGAUUCAGAAUUCUAAACUGGUGACUUGGGACACCAUAAAUUAUCCCAAGUGGUGACUCUGAAUUUAAUAUAAAUAAUAUCGUUUCGAUUGUCACUUAAAUUGGGAAAAAACUCCCUUAAUACCCCUUCCGAGGUAGUAAAAAGGAGGUGUGACAGUACUCAAAACAAGGAUUUUGGAGAAGUACUGUCAUCUCUCUCAAGGGGAUGUCCCAAGACCGGCUCUAAGUACCAUAAGCUUGCCCCUUAUGUAAAUCACCAUUAAUAUCAGCUCACUCAACUCGAAAUCAUAUAGGGCUUUUGCGGGAAUGUGAUGAAGGCUUUUGGUUCAAGGUAGGACUUAUUGGCAUAUGAUGGUUUCAUCUUUCCUUAAGCACUCCAUUUUCUCAUUUCAGCUCACACUUUCUUGACUCUUUGAGUCAUUUUCUUCUUCCUUAGGGGAACUAGAGAGACACACAGUCACUCUUUCUUGUUCAUGACGAUCAUUUUUCUCUUUUUCUAAACAUUCCAUACCUUUCAUCAUUGCUUUCAUUGAAUCCCUUCACUUUCUAUAUUAUUCACUUUCAUUUUGACUUUUUGGCUUUUCUUUUACUUUCCCUUUUCUUCAUUUUGUACCUUAUAUCACUUUCACAUUCCUCAUCUCUCCCCCAAACUUAUGCUUUUGCCAAUUGUAAAUGCUAAGGAAAGAUCGGGUGCCAAGAGAGGGUCAUUAUAGAACGGAUAAAGGCUUGUAUCAUUGUUAUUGAAAGAAAAAGGGCUUCGGAUCAACGGGGUUGACUAGGGAUAUUAUAUUUGUUAGGUUAUGGAUGCUUUCAAAUUUCAAAUUGGAUCAAGGAGAGCCUAUAAUCAUUUCUCAAGUCGAGCUACACUUAGGAUUUUGCCUAGACAAACAUUCAGGGCAAGUUCUAGACUUAUUGGCACGGGACAUGGACUUGCAAUUCAAUACCUCUCCUCACAAGCUGUUGGAUUGUUAAAGAGGACAGAUUCAAGCGCCCACAACAAACCUAGCUAAUAUUGAGCAUCACAAAUGACUCCAAGAAGCCACUCGAUGAUUGUUUAGUCAACACAAGAGUCUAAAGGUCACAACUAGAACUAUUCUUUGCCAAUCAACUUGUUUCCAACCAUAAGGUCGAAUGUAAAUGUGUUAGGCCCAAGUGAAGCUUGCUUGAGACACUUCUAUUCAUUACUACUAUUUAUACAAGAACAUAAAGAAAACGGGCUCAAUCCCUUAAGAAGGUUGUCACGCCAUCCAUCAUCGAGAAGAGCCACCCAGUUCACACAACAUCCACCUUUGGAAAGGACUAUGACAUUAAGAAAACCAAAGGCUUAUUGUUCACAUAAAAUGUAAAAAAGAAACUAACAACUUAACAAGAAACUACUAAAGGAAAUAAGAAUCUAUGAAGUAAAUUACGGAAAUCAACUGAAUAUAUACAAAGUUGAAGUAAAGCGAAUAUUUACAUAAAUGAAAACGAAUAUAUACAUCAAGUGAUAAAAAUAUAUACAUACCAAAUGUGAAGGUUACGAAUUUAUACAUACCAAAAGUAAAAUAAAGAGAAGUAAAGAUAAAGAAAAAUAGUCUCAUAGUUAUUACAUACCAAUGUUAUCCAAUUAUCACCAAAUCAAAAUAGACCCCUCCCCCCCCAAAUAAAAGAUAACAUUGUCCUCAAUGCUAAUGCCAAAAAUAAGAUCAGCGAAAGGGUUAAAGAGCAAAGAAAACUUCCUAUGUGGUCUGCAUCGGGUCCGGAACAUGAGUAGGGUCCUCGAACUGCAUAGGAUCGGCAUAUCCCUCCGUUUCCUCUAACUAGAUCUCCAAAUCUGACUGGGGGACCAUGGGGUUACGGAGCAUCUAGAUCAACUCUGCAGCACUAUGUGUAAUGGCAGUUGGCUCCUCAGACUGGCCAGCUGCUGGUGCCUGCUGCUCUGCUGCAUGUGCUGCUGGGACUUGCUCCUCCAUGAUCAAGUCCAAUGGGAUAUCACCACUAGAUGUCAACCUCUCUACAACCUUCUUCAGCUGCUUCACUGACUCCUUUGAGGCCCGAGUCUUCUUCAUCUUCUUGACUUGCUUGCCUGGAUCCUUUAUAGCCCUUCCAUGAAUAUCCAAAUAUCCAUGAUCUUAUUCUGGUUGUCCAGGAGCUUCUUCUGGUUGUCCAGAAGCUCCUUCAAUGACUCCUCCACUAUUAAAGGUACUUGGGGCUAUGCCGGGGCUGACUGUGCUGCUACUGCACUGGAUAAGACAGACAGCUUUGAUGUAGCUGCCUGCAUGCAGUUGUUGAUGCUGGAUAAAGUCUGAGAAACCCGCAGUGCAGUCUGAAAGUAAGUGGAAGAAGAGGGCACAAACAAUGGCAUGGUGAUGGAUGGCUCGGAUGAAGGAGGGGGUAUGGCAGCUGAAUAUCCCCCUACUAUGGAAGGCUCUGACCUGGCAACUACUACCCUUGGCUCUUCAGACUGGCCAGUGGAGAUAGCGGUUUUAGCCUUUUCUUUAGGGUUGUCCGGUCCUUUGGUGUUGUACCAGGAGAAGGGCUUCUUUUGUUUUGUCUUAGUGUCAUAGAUCUUCUUCUAACCUCCUUGGUCCUCGAAAUACAUGGUGAGGAAGUUGGGGUAGGGGUAGGAUCUUUCUUCCUUUCCAACCGCCUUUGUGAUGUGAUAGUACAUGAGGUUCCCCACAUUGAUAGGAUACCCCGCCAUGAUGGAGGCUAUCAAGACACACUGGUUAAGUGGGAGGACAUUGUCAUGCUGACACAGAUCUAGCCGGCUGCACACAAAGGUGGACCAACCCUUGGCUUCAAAGCUGAGGGUGUUUCCGAAUAUUGAGACUCCAACUAUGAGCCAUGUCGAUGUCGUCCCUAGGGCUAAUACCUCCGCCAACCAUGGACGGGCUGCUUCAUCAAGUGCCAGCUUCUCCAAGUACUGCACUGCUUCGACAUCUUCAAAACUAGCAUAUUCAUUCAACGUGUGGCCAUCAGACUAGAUCUUCAAAUUUUGGACCUUUGUCACAAUGGUGCCCUUUUUUAUGUGGGCAACGUUUGCAUAGAAUUCCUUGACAAGAUAUUCAUUGGCAUCCAGAACUUUGCUGGUGAAGAAAUUCCACCCUAUUCUCUCAUCAAACUGCCUUUUCACAUUUGGAUUAUGGGGAAAGAGGUCUCUCUCUGUGAAUUGUCUCCCAAGGAUGAGUGACCUUUGGGGCCACCAUUCUCGGAACUUCUGGUAAGCUAAUUCACUCACAAAUCUGUCAGCCCACAUCUCAGCUUUUUUGGAUCUAACAACCCUCCAAUAUUGGUGUCACCCCCUCUCCCGUCAUCCGGGACCUCAUUAUCAUCAUCCACAGCAAUAGGGGUAGCUGGUGAUGCUGAAGUUGUAGCAGGUGGGGAUAAUGGUGCCGAAGCCUCACUUCCCUCCUCUGAUCCAUCAGACGACUCAAAUGAGGAGGUAGGUUCAUCUCGUAACUGGAAUUUCCCCUUGAACUGUGUGGGGACAUGAGUGGUCACAUAGUCUCCUUCCGAAGUUUCCCGGGAAGGGACAUACUCACUAGUGUCAGAAUGGUCUGCGGCUCUAUCUGCAGCUUUGAUGGCAGCUCUUAUCUUGCCAAUUGAUUUUUGGACUGUUAGGCGUAACUUGGUCUUUCCUUUACCCCUUCCUUGGGAGGGUUCUGCCCUCCUUUUAGAUGUAUCACCUCCACCUCUGGAUCAUACCAUUGUCUGUAGCAAACAAGCAAUGAAAUACAGUUAGAGUAAAGCUUCAAGCAUAUGUUAAAACAAUGCAGUUGAAAUGCAGAAACUGCUUCUAAGAACCAAGUGCCGCAAAUCGCAAAAAAGUGAACGCGGCCGCGAAGUGCCCAUCGCGGACCGCAAAAAGGUAUCUGUGGCCGUAAAGAGGUUAGGUUCAUAAUACUAACUCUCUGAUCUUGGUUGAACACGGACCGUAAAAUAAUGAACGCAGCCGCGAAAGCUGUUAACAGAGACUCUGAAGCUGAAGAGCACGAACCACGAAAUUUGGGACGCGGCCAUGCAAAUUCAAACGCAGACUGCAAAAAAGUCAUCGUGUCCACGAACAUGCAUCCAUACUCAGUUCUCACAAGUUAGGGAACGCGGACCGCAUAAAAUGGACCAUCGAUCAUGAAGUUCAAACAAAAUAGGCAAUGAUGAAUAUUUGAAACCUAGGGUUUUCACUAAGCGCCUAAAAUCCGUUCAAUUAGCAAUCAAGGUUACUAACCCUAUCCCCCAUUAGGCAUGUAAACAUAACCCACAUAUGAUUAAGCAAUAAUUUUAGAUUAAGGGAUGUAUGUCACUCUAACUAAAAAUUGAAAAGAAAAAUUGAAAUAAAAAGAAAACAAAAGAAGCAGGUAAAAUUAAUUCAUGGAUUUGAACAUACCAUUUGUGAAUUUUUUUGCAGGAAAACAACGCUUGAUUCGAAAGAGAUGAAAUUGAAAGCCAGAGAAGAUGAACAAUGUUCCUUGUUCGGUGCAAUUUAAGGGUUUGAAAAGUGUAAAAGGUUUAGGAACCCCCUAUUUAUACUUAGCAGAUGUGGACCCGAUAGACUCAUCUGAACGCCGUUGCGAAAUUCUACCGCGGUUCGCGUUUCGUUAUCUGAUGAAGAAUAGUUUAAGCAACUGACCGCGGCCCACGAAAUUUUGAACGCGGCCGCGGAAUUCACCAUGGACCGCCAAACUAUAGAUGAAGUCGCGGAAGCUGAAGGGUAUUUGACAGUCCAACUUCAGAGAGUUGGCAUUUUUCUCUUUUCAAUUACGCAUCCGCGAGUAAAAAGAUGCGGCUGCAAAAUGCUCACGAGGACCGCGAAAUUGUGGUCGCAGUCCUCGAACUUCCAACACUUAGCCAAAAUUUUCCUUUGUCAAUUUGAUGUGCUGCACAACCAAUUCCUACAUACACUUCAUAACUAGUUAGUCCAUAACAAUGCCUAAUCUAAGAAGAAAAAAAUUAAAAGAAAGAAAAACACAUGGGUUGCCUCUCAAGAAGCGCCUGAUUUAACAUCGCGGCACGACGCAUGUUACCAUUAUUCACUUGAAAUGGAUCAAUGCCACGACGUGGCCAUCAUCAACCUUACCAAGGUAGUUCUUCACUUGGUGCCCAUUGACUCUAAAGAUCUCACCAUUCUUGUUUUUCAAAUCUAGAGCACCAAAAGGAGUCACAUGCACCACUUCAAAGGGCCUGCUCCAUUUUGACUUUAGCUUUUCCAAAAACAUACGUAACCGAGAGUUGAAUAAGAGAGCAAGGUCAGCUUCUUUGAAUUCUUUGUUGCGGAUAUAAUUAUCCUGUAGGUACUUCAUCUUGUCCUUAUACAAUGACGAACUGUAGUAAGCAUGAAACCGGAACUCAUCAAGCUUAUUCAAUUGCUCCACCUUAAGAUUUGCAGCUACAUCCCAUUCUAGGUUCAACUUCUUCAACGCCCACAUGGCUUUAUGCUAUAAUUCCACUGGGAGGUGACAUGCUUUACCAAAUACCAAUUGAUACGGAGACAUACCAAUUGGAGUCUUGUACGUUGUUCUAUAGGCCUAUAAAGCAUCGUCAAGUUUCCUUGACCAAUCAGUCUGGUUUGCAUUGACAGUCUUGAAAAGAAUACUCUUGAUCUCCCUAUUGGAGCCCUCAACCUGUCCACUUGCCUGGGGGUGCUAGUGAGUUAAUACCUUGUGAGUGACACCAUACUUGGAGAGUAAAGUGUCAAAGGCUUUGUUACAAAAAUGAGAAACCCUGUCACUGAUAAUGGCUCUUGGGGUGCCGAACCUUGUGAAUAUAUUUUUCUUUAAGAAAGCCACCACGCUUCGUGCUUCAUUGUUGGGAAAAGUCACAGCUUCAACCCACUUGGGGACGUAAUCCACAUCAACAAAAAUAUAGGUGUUCCAAUAUUAACUCACGAAUGGACCCAUAAAGUCGAUACCCCACAUAUCGAAAAUGUUGAUCUUAAGGAUGGUAGUGAGAGGAAUCUCAUUCUUCUUAGAAAUCCCACCGGCUCUUUGGCACUCAUCACAAUGCUUGACAAGCUCGCUAGCAUCUUUGUACAAGGUAGGCAUAUAGUAUCCACAGCUUAGGACCUUUGUAGUAGUUCUCGCCCCACCAUGGUGACCACUAUAAUGCGAAGAAUGACAAGCUUCAAUAAUACCCAAUUGCUCUUCUUCUAGAACACAUCUCUGGAUAACACCAUCGGUGCAAAUUUUGAAAAUAUAUGGCUCGUCCCAAUAAUAAUCCAAGCACUCCCGUUUGAGAUUCUUCCUUUGGUUUGAAGAGAACUCAUUUAGGACAAUUCCGCUCACAAGAUAUUUAGCUACAUCGGCAAACCAAGGCAUCUCGGUCAAAGUCAUGGAAAUGAGUUGUUCAUCCAGAAAUGAAUCAUUGAUCUCCAGGUUGUCAUGGGUCCUCCCCUCCUCUUCCAAACGGGACAAGUGGUCCGCCACUUGAUUCUCACUCCCCUUUUGGUAAAUGAUUUCAAGAUCAAACUCUUGUAGAAGAAGUACCCACCACCUAAUCAAUCUAGCCUUUGAGUCCUUCUUACUCAUCAAAUAGCGAAGCGCUGCGUGAUCGGUGUGAACAAUCACUUUGGUACCCAUGAGGUACGGGCGGAACUUUUACAUAGCAAAGAAAAUGGAUAAGAGUUUUUCUCGGUCACCGUAUAGUUGACUUGGGUGUCGUUCAUGGUCUUACUAGCAUAGUAGAUCAGAUGGAAUAUCUUGUUGAGUUUUUGCCCCAAUAUCGCUACUACCGCCACAUCGCUAGCAUCACACAUGAGCUCAAAUGGUAAACUCCAAUUUGGUGCGGUAAUGAUGGGAGUGGUAGUCAACCUAUACUUGAGUAGCUCAAACGAUUUCAUGAAAUCAUCAUUGAAUACAAAUUUUUCAUCUUUUUCCAACAACUUGCACAAGGGGUUCACCACCUUAGAGAAAUCCUUGAUGAACCGACGGUAAAACCCCGCAUGCCCUAAAAAGCUCCUCACUCCUUUGACGGAAGUAGGUGGAGGGAGUUUUGAUCUUACUUCAAUUUUUGCUUUAUCCACUUCAAUACCAUUAUUGGAGAUCUUAUGUCCAAGGACAAUGCCCUCCUCAACCAUAAAGUGACAUUUCUCCCAAUUAUAGACCAAGAUAGUCUCUUCACAGCGUGCUAAGUCUUUAUCAAGAUUACCCAAAAACUCAUCAAAAGAAUCCCCCACAAUAGAAAAAUCAUCUAUGAACACCUCGAGGAUGUCCUCCACCAUAUCCGUGAAUAUUUCCAUCAUACACCGUUGAAAAGUAGCCGGUGUAUUACAUAGACCAAAUGGCAUCCUUGAGAUUGCAAAUGUGCCAUACGGGUAAGUGAAGGGUGUCUUCUCUUGGUCUUCAGGUGCAAUAAGAAUCUGGUUAUAUCUGGAGAACCCAUCCAAGAAGUAAUAAAAAUCACGUCCGGCUAACCUAUCCAACAUUUGAUCAAGGAAUGGAAGUGGGAAAUCGUCUUUCCGAGUCACUUUGUUGAGCUUCCUAUAAUCCAUGGAUACCCUCCAACCGGUGAUAGCUCUUGUGGGGAUCAACUCAUUGUUGUUAUUUGUAAUCACAGUCAUGCAGCCCUUCUUUGGGACACAUUGUAUCGACAAAGUCCAUGAACUAUCCUAAAUGGGGUAGACAACCCCAGCAUCCAACCACUUGAUCACCUCUUUCUUGACAACCUCUUGAAUGGCCUCAUUCAACCUUCUCUGAUGUUCCACGGAGAGUUUGGCAUACUCCUCCAAUAUGAUGUUGUGCAUGAAAAAGGCAGGGCUUAUACCCCGAAUGUCCGCCAAUGUCCAACCUAUUUCCUUCUUCCUCCUUUAGAGCACUGCAAGGGUGCCAUCUACUUGCACGUUAGUUAAGAACAAGGAACGAAUAACAGGUAAAGUGGAACAAGGGCCUAAGAACUCAUACCUGAGUUGUGAAGGCAAAGGCUUCAACUCCAAUGUGCGAGGUUCCUCGAUUGAGGCUUUGUUGGUAGAGUCUUCUGGUUCUCAAGUUCCAAGGAAAGUUUCCGGGGCUCAUAUGUAUAUGAACCCAUUACUUGUAAAGCAUUGACAUAUUCAACCAAGUCUUCCUUCUCUUCCACAUCAUGAUUCACAACACAGCUUCCAAUGGGUCUUCCACAUUAAUCACGGCACUUGUGUCUUCAAUAAUCACUUCGAUCGCUAGAUCCACAAACGAACAUACUUCGUUGCUAUUACAUUGCCUCAUUGACUUGCAAACAUGGAACACAACUUUUUCAUCGCCCACCCGGAAGGUGAGCUCUCCUACUUCCACAUCAACUAAGGCCUUCCUUAUAGCUAGGAAAGGUCUCCCCAAUAUGAUCGGCACCCAUAGUCAACCUCACAGUCAAGUAUCACAAAAUUCGCGAGAAGUAUGAACUUGUCGACCCGAACUAGCACAUCAUCAAUGAUCCCCAAUGGCCUCUUCAUUGUCCUAUCUGCCAUUUGCAACCUCAUGGAUAUGGGCCUUGGCUACCCAAUACCCAAUGGUUUGAACACAUAAUAUGGCAUCAAGUUAAUGCUUGCCCCCAUGUCGCACAAAGCUUUUGCGAAAUCGGCACUACCAAUAGUGCAUGGGUUUGUAAAGGCACUGAGGUCUUCUAGCUUUGGAGCCAUGAAAUGCACAAUAGCACUCACUUGGUGUGUCAUUUUGAUUGUUUCAUAGUUCAUUGAUCUCUUCUAUCACGCCCCGCAAUAUUACGUCGAUAUUACAUCCAACAGUAUUAUAUUAUGAUAAUGUUAUAUCCUGCAGUAUUAUAUUACGAUGAUGUUACAUCCGGAAGUAUUAUAUUACGAUGAUGUUACGCCUUGCAUUAUUACAUUACGAUGAUGUUAUUCUUCGCAGUAUUAAGUUACGACGAUGUUGCACCCUGCAGUAUUGCACAUUGAAUUUAUCGUAAGAUAAUUGACAUUAGUUCAAGGGCAAGAUUAUUUGGAGAUUACAAGCAUUAUGCUAUUCUAAGCAAGUGAUGAGUAAAUUCGUGAAGGUGAGUGGGGAAGCAAGUCAAAAAAAUGAAUUUUCGUCCAAGUUUGACAUGUUGGGGUAAAAUACGGCCCGAGCUAAAAGAUCCGGUAUUUAUAGACUAGUACCAUACAAGGUACCACAUGGCCAUGAUAAUAAGGUGUAUAAGGUAUGUUAAAAGUGAGUAGUAUUUUAGGUAAUUUGAGAUAAUUCUUAAUUAUAUGGGUAAUUGGUUAAUUAUUGAAUUAGUGGGAAAUUACCAAGUUAAUUAAGGAAUUGGUAAUUAAUUAAGAUGUGAUGGAUAAGCCUUAAGGGCACCCAACGUGGCAGCAAGUUUGGCCAAAUUGGUGACUCUUAAAGUCACAAGAAAGGUGGCAAAUUUUGGAGGAACUCUUAGGCUAAGUCAUCACCUAGUUAUCUUUUCUUUAAUUAGAAUUUUUUUUUGGAUUCCAUAAACAAAGAUUUAUACUACAUAUAACCAAAUCAUGUUUUCAUUGGCAUCACACAACUCCAACACUUCAGCCACCUCUAGGUAAUAUAGUUCAAUUUUAAGCUUUUCUUGCAUAUUGAAUCUUCAUCACAAAUAUAACGUUCAACUUCAACAAAGCCAUAAAAGGCUUUCCAAAUUCACAAAGUGAAAUUUCAACCACAAAUCUAAAGACCUCUUCCUACAUAAUUUUUGUGGAGGUGUAUGUGCUGAGUAACAAAGGAAUUCUCAAAUGGAUUCAUAUGAAAUCUCGUAACACUACAACAGUGUGAGACACAAUUCUAAGAUAGCACGGUACAAUCUUUCUCAAGAAUAUUAUACGAAUUUUUCCCUACUCCAAGUAUGUUAAGGCUAUCACGUCUUUCUUUUGGCAUGAUCCUUACGAUGCAAAUGAAACGAGCAAAUACACAACUUUAAUAAAUUACUCUAUUCGUAGAAAUGCUAAAGAUGUGUAUAUUCUUAUUCUCCCAAGUGUCAUAUUAUUCUAUCAUCUGUUCACGGGUCUCAGAAAAAUAAGUAAGUUGAAAAAAAAAUGGUUUACUUCAUGAUAUUAUUCAAAGGCAUAAUGGUCUUAUGACAUUCCAAGAGAUUUUAUUGACGUACUUUUCAUGCAUUGCAUUCACGUACAUUGACCCAUGACCAGAUUGCGUUAUAUAUGCGUAUAUAUGUAUGUAUACAUAUGUAUAUGGGAUAUGAGAAAGGUUAUGGCAUUAUAUACGCACCACCACCAGAUCAGCUGGUAUACAUUGAUAAUUUUGCCCACAGUAGCUGAGAUGAUAUGAUGGGAUUCCCUCAAAGGCUUGAUGAUAUUAUGAAACAUGUACCUAUACACGACAUGACAUUCAUACGCAUAUGCAUGACACUAUAAGUAUUUCAUGAUUGACAGAGUUAUCCAAACUUACAGGUUGAAUCAUUUAUUCUAUAUUUCUUCCAUGUCUAUUAUGUACUUAUUUAAGUGCCUUACAUACUCGGUACAUUAUUCGUACUGACUUCCCUUUUACCUGGGGAUGCUGCAUUUCAUGCCCGCAGGUCCCAAUAGACAGGUUGAGAGCCCUCUAAGUAGCUAUCAGCUUAGUGGAAGGUGUUGGUGCGGUCUAUUUGCUUCGGAGUUGCUUGUUGGGUUAGUA
Molecule: long non-coding RNA, 12484 nt
Filed under: Nicotiana tabacum (common tobacco)
Lineage: Eukaryota; Viridiplantae; Streptophyta; Magnoliopsida; Solanales; Solanaceae
Description: long non-coding RNA (NTAB_LNC004946)
Source: RNAcentral